CUGCUGAACUGGGAAAUCCCCACUGUAAACUGGAGACUCUGGGACUCGCUGGCUGUGAACUCACAGACUCAUCCUGUAAAGUGUUGGACUCAGUUCUCAGUUCAAACCCCUCACACCUGAGAGAACUGGAUCUGAGUAACAAUGACCUGAAGGAUUCAGGAGUGAAGCUGCUCUCUGCUGGACUGGGGAAUCCCCACUGUAAACUGGAGACUCUGAGACUCGCUGGCUGUAAACUCACAGACACAUCCUGUAAAGUGUUGGACUCAGUUCUCAGUUCAAACCGCUCACACCUGAGAGUGCUGGAUCUCAGUUACAAUGACCUGAAGGAUUCAGGAGUGAAGCUGCUCUCUGCUGUACUGGGGAAUCCCCACUGUAGACUGGAGACUCUGAGGUCAGUAUUCCAGUAGU
Molecule: non-coding RNA, 408 nt
Organism: Salmo salar (Atlantic salmon)
Lineage: Eukaryota; Metazoa; Chordata; Actinopteri; Salmoniformes; Salmonidae
Source: RefSeq, a predicted model, not a curated record